RNAcentral lists this ribosomal RNA (456 nucleotides) under uncultured bacterium. RNAcentral describes it as "bacterial SSU rRNA". It matches the Rfam family "Bacterial small subunit ribosomal RNA", at positions 340 to 786 of the family's 1533-position model. The record is from RNAcentral.
UACGGAAGGCAGCAGUGGGGAAUAUUGCACAAUGGGCGAAAGCCUGAUGCAGCUAUGCCGCGUGUAUGAAGAAGGCCUUAGGGUUGUAAAGUACUUUCAUCGGGGAGGAAAAAACAAAACUAAUAAUUUUAUUUCUUGACGUUACCCGAAAAAGAAGCACCGGCUAACUCCGUGCCAGCAGCCGCGGUAAUACGGAGGGUGCUAGCGUUAAUCAGAAUUACUGGGCGUAAAGAGCACGUAGGUGGUUUUUUUAAAGUCAGAUGUGAAAUCCCUGGGCUUAACCUAGGAACUGCAUUUUGAAACUGAAAUACUAGAGUAUCGUAGAGGGAGGUAGAAUUCUAGGUGUAGCGGUGAAAUGCGUAGAUAUCUGGAGGAAUACCUGUGGCGAAAGCGGCCUCCUAAACGAAUACUGACACUGAGUGCGAAAGCGUGGGGAGCAAACAGGGAUUAGAUACC